This 74-nucleotide transfer RNA is filed under the name Halorhodospira halophila SL1. It matches the Rfam family "tRNA". Rfam says of the family: Transfer RNA (tRNA) molecules are approximately 80 nucleotides in length. Their secondary structure includes four short double-helical elements and three loops (D, anti-codon, and T loops). Further hydrogen bonds mediate the characteristic L-shaped molecular structure. tRNAs have two regions of fundamental functional importance: the anti-codon, which is responsible for specific mRNA codon recognition, and the 3' end, to which the tRNAs corresponding amino acid is attached (by aminoacyl-tRNA synthetases). tRNAs cope with the degeneracy of the genetic code in two manners: having more than one tRNA (with a specific anti-codon) for a particular amino acid; and 'wobble' base-pairing, i.e. permitting non-standard base-pairing at the 3rd anti-codon position. RNAcentral also lists the same sequence under 1 other name. Lineage: Bacteria; Pseudomonadati; Pseudomonadota; Gammaproteobacteria; Chromatiales; Ectothiorhodospiraceae. The record is from Rfam by way of RNAcentral.
GCCCCGGUAGCUCAGCCGGAUAGAGCAAUCGCCUCCUAAGCGAUAGGUCGCAGGUUCGAAUCCUGCCCGGGGCG